This 467-nucleotide ribosomal RNA is filed under the name uncultured bacterium. RNAcentral's name for it is "partial 16S ribosomal RNA". It matches the Rfam family "Bacterial small subunit ribosomal RNA", at positions 28 to 507 of the family's 1533-position model. The record is from RNAcentral.
GACGAACGCUGGCGGCGUGCUUAACACAUGCAAGUCGAACGGAAAGGCCCUGCUUUUGUGGGGUGCUCGAGUGGCGAACGGGUGAGUAACACGUGAGUAACCUGCCCUUGACUUUGGGAUAACUUCAGGAAACUGGGGCUAAUACCGGAUAGGAGCUCCUGCUGCAUGGUGGGGGUUGGAAAGUUUCGGCGGUUGGGGAUGGACUCGCGGCUUAUCAGCUUGUUGGUGGGGUAGUGGCUUACCAAGGCUUUGACGGGUAGCCGGCCUGAGAGGGUGACCGGCCACAUUGGGACUGAGAUACGGCCCAGACUCCUACGGGAGGCAGCAGUGGGGAAUAUUGCACAAUGGGCGGAAGCCUGAUGCAGCAACGCCGCGUGCGGGAUGACGGCCUUCGGGUUGAAACCGCUUUCGCCUGUGGCGAAGCGUGAGUGACGGUAAUGGGUAAAGAAGCACCGGCUAACUACGUG